CUUCAUCACACCUCUUCUAGAUCGAGUUGUGUAGGCUAAUCUGUGGGAUGCAAUGUGGGACCAACCAACAUAUGACAUGUCGCAGUCCCCGACAAGCCCAAAGAUGAUUUUUGAAUCCCCUUUUUUGGCUCAUUAUGGUGUGACACCUCGAGCUGACCAUCUCUCAUAAAUGCAGCAAGAUUCACAAAACAGUACAUUCAUGACAUCUCGAGAUUUUCUCCACCAAAUGCUACCAAAUAAAUAUCUAAGAGAAAAGAUUGGGUCAGCAAUUGAAGACCAGUCCAA
Molecule: long non-coding RNA, 285 nt
Filed under: Elaeis guineensis (African oil palm)
Lineage: Eukaryota; Viridiplantae; Streptophyta; Magnoliopsida; Arecales; Arecaceae
Description: long non-coding RNA (EGUI_LNC012399)
Source: RNAcentral